Molecule: long non-coding RNA, 1176 nt
Organism: Solanum pennellii
Lineage: Eukaryota; Viridiplantae; Streptophyta; Magnoliopsida; Solanales; Solanaceae
Exons: 2
Source: RefSeq, a predicted model, not a curated record
UAAAUAUCUUACUUUUAUUUUCUCAAAUUUGUUUUAGCUCAAAAAAAUAAUAAUUAUCUUCUCAUUCUCUCAACUUGCUUUUUGAAUAAUAUGAUACUAAUCGACGUAUAUUAUAGUGGAAUGGUUAAGAUUUUUUUUAUUCUUAAUCACAUGUUUCGGAUCACAAAUUUUGUUAAAAGCCUUAUUCAAGUCCUGCAAUGUGUGAAUCUGAAUUUAGUCAGACGUGUGAUAAUAUUAGUAAGGUUGUUGGUAAAGAAACUUGAAAAAAUGGAGAAAUUUAUACAAGUUUCCGACGGAUACCGCCGGAAUUCUGGCCAUGGCUGGUGCCGGAGAACCGCCGUCGGUCACUCUAUAGUAAAGUAUUAUGGAGAAUUGAUGAUGAAGUGACUUGGAUUUACUAAUCAAAGAGACGAUGAACUCACACUUGCUGGUAAAGUAGUCUUCGGAGGAAAAAUAUAUUACAGGACAGAAUGACCUCUCUACUUCACGAGUUAUUACGGGCGUAACUUAAAUGAGCAAAAACUCGCCUUGUUUACGAGUCAUGAAAAAUUAGUAUAACUUUAGUUUAGAUAGUUCACAAGUUUUGUCGGAUUGGUAAAAACUUGCAUGUGUUGACUCGUUAUGAAAAAACCUAUGGAGCUUGUAAACUUACCUUACACAAGCCCAAUCAUCCCAAGCCCAGUAGCCAGAUUCUUAUCCAAGCCCAUAUAAUGAAAUUUCUGAGGCCCAAUAGAUUGCAAAAGCCCAUUAAUAUGCUUUAUACUACUACCUUGAUUCAUUUUUUUUAGCGAUAUUAACUAAAGUUAGUUUGAGUGCACCUUAACUAGUUUUACGAGAUACUUGCUACCCUCUCGUCAGCACGAUAACUUUAUGUAUCAAGGCUUUGAAGAAUAAGGGGUCACUGCUUCUGUUUUAAUAAUAUGAUGAAAAUUUCUAUUGCUAGUGAAUAAGGACAUAUUUUCGACAGUUCUUAUUCAUUAAGAUCGCACUAUAUAUGACCUCAACUAUUAAUCGAGGGAAGUUUUUGGGUAAUUUUACAAAGUUGAAGGGCAAUUUCGGAAUUUUUUCCUUUAAUAUAUUUGAAUUGUAAUUUGUAGCUCACCAUUGCUAAUUACUUAAUUAGCCCACACGUUUUGUCCAUUAUGUAAAAGGAAUCAUAUUAAUCUGUCUUAACAA